CAACGAGAGACUCGGUGAAAUCAUAGUACCUGUGAAGAAGCAGGUUACCCGCGACAGGACGGAAAGACCCCGUGGAGCUUUACUGUAGCCUGAUAUUGAAAUUAGGCACAGCUUGUACAGGAUAGGUAGGAGCCUUUGAAACGUGAGCGCUAGCUUACGUGGAUGCGCUGGUGGGAUACUACCCUAGCUGUGUUGGCUUUCUAACCCGCACCACUUAGCGUGGUGGGAGACAGUGUCAGGCGGGCAGUUUGACUGGGGCGGUCGCCUCCUAACAGGUAACGGAGGAGCUCCAAGGUUCCCUCAGAAUGGUUGGAAAUCAUUCAUAGAGUGUAAAG
This 335-nucleotide ribosomal RNA is filed under the name Staphylococcus aureus. RNAcentral's name for it is "partial 23S ribosomal RNA". It matches the Rfam family "Bacterial large subunit ribosomal RNA", at positions 2022 to 2356 of the family's 2925-position model. The record is from RNAcentral. Lineage: Bacteria; Bacillati; Bacillota; Bacilli; Caryophanales; Staphylococcaceae.